UGGGGAAUUUUGCACAAUGGGGGAAACCCUGAUGCAGCGACGCCGCGUGUUUUAGAAGGCCUUCGGGUUGUAAAAAUCUAUUCUAUGGGAAGAAAAUGACAGUACCAUAGGAAUAAGGACCGGCUAAUUACGUGCCAGCAGCCGCGGUAAUACGUAAGGUCCGAGCGUUGUCCGGAAUCAUUGGGCGUAAAGGGUACGUAGGCGGGUAAGCAAGUUAGAAGUGAAAUCCUAUAGCUCAACUAUAGUAAGCUUUUAAAACUGCUCAUCUUUAGGUAUGGAAGGGAAAGUGGAAUUCCUAGUGUAGCGGUGAAAUGCGCAGAUAUUAGGAGGAAUACCGGUGGCGAAGGCGACUUUCUGGCCAUAACCUGACGCUGAGGUACGAAAGCGUGGGUAGCAAACAGG
RNAcentral lists this ribosomal RNA (402 nucleotides) under bacterium. RNAcentral describes it as "partial 16S ribosomal RNA". It matches the Rfam family "Bacterial small subunit ribosomal RNA", at positions 355 to 776 of the family's 1533-position model. The record is from RNAcentral.